RNAcentral lists this long non-coding RNA (609 nucleotides) under Homo sapiens (human). RNAcentral's name for it is "non-protein coding lnc-SLC5A9-10:1". The record is from RNAcentral. Lineage: Eukaryota; Metazoa; Chordata; Mammalia; Primates; Hominidae.
CAGCGGCAGAUGAAGCACAAGAAGAGAACCAGACCAAUGUGGAGAAGAGCCCGUUUGGCCAGGUGGUCUCCGCGCUGACCUGUCGGCUGACUCCACAAAAGGAAAUUUCACGGUGGCGUGUGUGCAUGUAGACAGGUCAAGGCGUGCUUUCGUGCAAGGCAGCCUGGAAUCAGCAGGAAGCUCUCCUGAACUCAUCCCUGUGCCUUGCCAGAUGGGCACUCUGCUGGGCAGGUCACUGCACCCACACUGUUCAACUUCUUCACAAGACCGCUGGCCAAAAGGAAGGAUCCAAGAACAAGCCUGGUGACAUCCAUUUCUCGGUCACUUCACAGAACAGCCGUGGACCCCAAAACAUAAAACCCCUUUCUAAGUCUGCAGGAAACCUGGAAGGGCACUGACAGCCUUCCGUGACUGCAGGCUCUGCCCUGAUGGAAAGUGGGAGGCAGCCUGGUGAAGUGAGCCCUCCUGCCGGGUACUGGGCAGGGCUCCAGGGGGCCACGGAAUUGCGAGGAUCUGGAUCUGGCUUCUGAGUCUGACUUACCCUGACCUGCAUGGGCUAUACUCAACCAACCCCAGUCUCUGGACCCACAAGCCCUUCUUACGUUCCGC